This 255-nucleotide ribosomal RNA is filed under the name uncultured bacterium. RNAcentral's name for it is "partial 16S ribosomal RNA". It matches the Rfam family "Bacterial small subunit ribosomal RNA", at positions 524 to 776 of the family's 1533-position model. The record is from RNAcentral.
UACAGAGGUCUCAAGCGUUGUUCGGAUUCAUUGGGCGUAAAGGGUGCGUAGGCGGCCACCGCAAGUCGACUGUGAAAUCUCCGGGCUUAACUCGGAAAGGUCAGCCGAUACUGCGGGGCUAGAGUGCAGAAGGGGCAACUGGAAUUCUCGGUGUAGCGGUGAAAUGCGUAGAUAUCGAGAGGAACACCUGCGGCGAAGGCGGGUUGCUGGGCUGACACUGACGCUGAUUGUGCGAAAGCUAGGGGAGCGAACGGG